UUAGCGUAUCAAAAAUUCAGGCUAUCAAAAGUAGGCUGGACUCACAAGUGUAGGUAGUAUGCUACAUGAGGGGCAAGUUUUUUGCUAACAUCACAAGGGUCUUUGGCCCAAUGAGUGGGGUUCGAUAGUAAUACUUGCUACAAAU
Molecule: small nucleolar RNA, 145 nt
Organism: Delphinapterus leucas (beluga whale)
Lineage: Eukaryota; Metazoa; Chordata; Mammalia; Artiodactyla; Monodontidae
Source: Ensembl